AGGAUAAACGCUGGCGGCGUGCAUGAGACAUGCAAGUCGAACGGACGAUCAGGGCUUGCUCUGAUCGUUAGUGGCGGACGGCUGAGUAACGCGUAGGUGACCUGCCCCGAAGUGGGGAAUAACUGCCCGAAAGGGUGGCUAAUACCGCAUGUGGUGGUGCCUUCACUGGCAUCAGUAAAGCCGCAAGGCGCUUCGGGAGGGGCCUGCGUCCGAUUAGCUCGUUGGUGGGGUAACGGCUCACCAAGGCGACGAUCGGUAGGUGGUCUGAGAGGACGAUCACCCAGACUGGGACUGAGACACGGCCCAGACUCCUACGGGAGGCAGCAGUCGGGAAUUUUGCGCAAUGGACGAAAGUCUGACGCAGCAACGCCGCGUGAGGGAUGACGGCCUUCGGGUUGUAAACCUCUUUGUCAGGGACGAUGAUGACGGUACCUGACGAAUAAGUCACGGCUAACUACGUGCCAGCAGCCGC
Molecule: ribosomal RNA, 472 nt
Filed under: uncultured bacterium
Lineage: Bacteria
Description: SSU rRNA
Rfam family: Bacterial small subunit ribosomal RNA
Source: RNAcentral